AUGGGGAUUGGCCAUGCAUUUUGUCCGGCGAUUCCUCUAGCUUUUUGAAGCAAGCAUGGUGGCAAUUUGCCAAGGAUUUGGGAAGCCUAUCACGUUCCCUGAUUCCUAAAGUUCCAUUUGGGACAUUUGAACAAAUGGAUUCCAUCAGUCACCUCACUAAUUCCUCGGCUCAAUGUUCUGUCACUUUGGUUCCUUUACUUCUAAAAUACCCAAUGCCGGCACACC
This 225-nucleotide long non-coding RNA is filed under the name Elaeis guineensis (African oil palm). RNAcentral describes it as "long non-coding RNA (EGUI_LNC036376)". Lineage: Eukaryota; Viridiplantae; Streptophyta; Magnoliopsida; Arecales; Arecaceae. The record is from RNAcentral.